UACGGAGGAUCCGAGCGUUAUCCGGAUUUAUUGGGUUUAAAGGGUGCGCAGGCGGGAGAUUAAGUCGGCGGUGAAAUUUUGCAGCUCAACUGUAAAAGUGCCUUCGAAACUGGUUUCCUUGAGUGUAGAUGAAGUAGGCGGAAUUAGUGGUGUAGCGGUGAAAUGCAUAGAUAUCACGAGGAACUCCGAUUGCGCAGGCAGCUUACUAAACUACUACUGGCGCUCAGGCACGAAGGCGUGGGGAUCAAACAGGAUUAGAUACCCUGGUA
RNAcentral lists this ribosomal RNA (269 nucleotides) under uncultured prokaryote. Its description in RNAcentral is "partial 16S ribosomal RNA". It matches the Rfam family "Bacterial small subunit ribosomal RNA", at positions 524 to 792 of the family's 1533-position model. The record is from RNAcentral.